UACAGAGACUGCAAGCGUUAUUCGGAUUCACUGGGCGUAAAGCGCACGUAGGCGGCUUUGUAAGUUAGAGGUGAAAGCCCAGGGCUCAACCCUGGAAUUGCCUUUAAGACUGCAUCGCUAGAAUUGUGGAGAGGUAAGUGGAAUUCCGAGUGUAGAGGUGAAAUUCGUAGAUAUUCGGAAGAACACCAGUGGCGAAGGCGACUCACUGGACACGUAUUGACGCUGAGGUGCGAAAGCGUGGGGAGCAAACAGG
RNAcentral lists this ribosomal RNA (253 nucleotides) under uncultured bacterium. Its description in RNAcentral is "partial 16S ribosomal RNA". It matches the Rfam family "Bacterial small subunit ribosomal RNA", at positions 524 to 776 of the family's 1533-position model. The record is from RNAcentral.